CAGUAGCCGCGGGAAUACGUAGGCGGCAAGCGUUGUCCGGAAUUAUUGGGCGUAAAGGGCUCGCAGGCGGUUUCUUAAGUCUGAUGUGAAAGCCCCCGGCUCAACCGGGGAGGGUCAUUGGAAACUGGGAAACUUGAGUGCAGAAGAGGAGAGUGGAAUUCCACGUGUAGCGGUGAAAUGCGUAGAGAUGUGGAGGAACACCAGUGGCGAAGGCGACUCUCUGGUCUGUAACUGACACUGAGGAGCGAAAGCGUGGGGAGCGAACAGGAUUAGAUACCCCCGUAGUCCCUGUCUCUUAUAC
Molecule: ribosomal RNA, 301 nt
Filed under: uncultured bacterium
Lineage: Bacteria
Description: partial 16S ribosomal RNA
Rfam family: Bacterial small subunit ribosomal RNA
Source: RNAcentral